UUCACGAUUAUGUGCAUUGCAUUAUUUCUUGUAUUUGCGAACGGACAUAGAGCUUGUUUCAUUAGCCCUCCCAGUAAAGUCCUGAGGAGGCCCAUUGAGGGCCGGACACAGUAAAGUCCUGAGGAGCCCCGAGAGGGCCGGGCACAGAGUACUUUUGUACUAUUGAUUGUAUAAUAAAGUCCUGAGGAGCUCCUUCGCGGGCCGGACACUGAGGGAUUUUUUAUUCAGUCCGUUCGGUAUGUGAUUACUUGUGCUGUGAUGCAUUUCAUGUGAGCAUGUUUAUUAACAUGUUUUUAAUGUUCUACUCACUG
RNAcentral lists this long non-coding RNA (311 nucleotides) under Manihot esculenta (cassava). RNAcentral describes it as "long non-coding RNA (MESC_LNC010003)". Lineage: Eukaryota; Viridiplantae; Streptophyta; Magnoliopsida; Malpighiales; Euphorbiaceae. The record is from RNAcentral.